GCAAUGUAGUGCCGCCUCCACGUGGCGCUGCCUGGGAUCACUAGUGGCUACUACUGCUAGUGAUGCUAAGAGCACUACCUACAAGAAGAAUAUAACAAGACUGUACUAACAAUUCAAGUUGAAAUAAAGAUGAAAUCUCAAGUCGUGCAAUAGUCAAGAAGCAACAGAUUUUUAAAGACACGAUGACUCUUCCUUGACUCUCAUAAACGUUUUGCUAAUUUUAAUUUUAAAAAGUAUUUUUUAAUUUUUUUGAUUAAAUAUAAUAGCGAUUUAAAUGCAAA
Molecule: long non-coding RNA, 281 nt
Organism: Amphimedon queenslandica
Lineage: Eukaryota; Metazoa; Porifera; Demospongiae; Haplosclerida; Niphatidae
Exons: 2
Source: RefSeq, a predicted model, not a curated record